CACUGAUCCCUUGAAGGUCCAUGUUAUGGUUGGAGUAGGUCUUCCUUCAACAUGGCAGGUGAACUUGGCAGAGUCAUUCUGUACAACACUCAGUUUCCUUGUCAGAGGUGUGAAACUAGGUAUACUAGCAGGGAUGG
This is a long non-coding RNA of Strongylocentrotus purpuratus (purple sea urchin), 137 nucleotides long. RefSeq lists it as uncharacterized. Lineage: Eukaryota; Metazoa; Echinodermata; Echinoidea; Camarodonta; Strongylocentrotidae. The transcript is spliced from 2 exons. The record is from RefSeq and is a predicted model, not a curated record.